GGAUCAAUAUGUUGGUCGUGCUAUUGUACGUACUGGUAUUAUUGAUUUCUACCUUCUGAUGAACCUUGAUGUCAUUAAUUUGAUGUCAUGGGGAAUCAGGACUGUUACUUUGAAAAAAUUAGAGUGUUUAAAGCAGGCUCACGCUUGAAUACAUUAGCAUGGAAUAACGAAAUAGGACGUUUGAUUCUAUUUUGUUGGUUUCCAGGAUCGACGUA
This 215-nucleotide ribosomal RNA is filed under the name Campeiostachys nutans. RNAcentral describes it as "Elymus nutans partial small subunit ribosomal RNA". The stretch from base 37 to 215 matches the Rfam family "Eukaryotic small subunit ribosomal RNA", at positions 684 to 864 of the family's 1831-position model. The record is from RNAcentral. Lineage: Eukaryota; Viridiplantae; Streptophyta; Magnoliopsida; Poales; Poaceae.